This 492-nucleotide ribosomal RNA is filed under the name uncultured bacterium. Its description in RNAcentral is "partial 16S ribosomal RNA". It matches the Rfam family "Bacterial small subunit ribosomal RNA", at positions 29 to 507 of the family's 1533-position model. The record is from RNAcentral.
AGUGAACGCUGGCGGUAGGCCUAACACAUGCAAGUCGAACGGCAGCACAGUAAGAGCUUGCUCUUACGGGUGGCGAGUGGCGGACGGGUGAGGAAUACAUCGGAAUCUACUUUUUCGUGGGGGAUAACGUAGGGAAACUUACGCUAAUACCGCAUACGACCUACGGGUGAAAGCAGGGGAUCUUCGGACCUUGCGCGAUUGAAUGAGCCGAUGUCGGAUUAGCUAGUUGGCGGGGUAAAGGCCCACCAAGGCGACGAUCCGUAGCUGGUCUGAGAGGAUGAUCAGCCACACUGGAACUGAGACACGGUCCAGACUCCUACGGGAGGCAGCAGUGGGGAAUAUUGGACAAUGGGCGCAAACCUGAUCCAGCCAUACCGCGUGGGUGAAGAAGGCCUUCGGGUUGUAAAGCCCUCUUGUUGGGAAAGAAAAGCAGCAGGUUAAUACCCCGCUGUUCUGACGGUACCCAAAGAAUAAGCACCGGCUAACUUCGUG